Rattus norvegicus (Norway rat) is the source of this 10729-nucleotide long non-coding RNA. RefSeq lists it as uncharacterized. NCBI's taxonomy places the organism in Eukaryota, Metazoa, Chordata, Mammalia, Rodentia, Muridae. The record is from RefSeq and is a predicted model, not a curated record.
GCAGCGUGCCUACCUGCAAUCUGUUUGAAAUAAUGCCUCCCAUCUGGUGUGCAGCUCAACGGUGUGGCUGUUUCUUCUGAUUCCGUCUUGAUUGGGGCAGUUUUCACUGGCAGGAAGCUCUCGGGAGACCAGGCUCACUGAAUUCCCUGUCACAGAGGGAGGGGAAAGGUUCACAGAAAUCCAAGAAGACCCUUCUGUCCCCGCCCCCCUUGUUUUACAUGUGGUAAGUGAUUGGCUGCCUGAAACUCUUUGGUGGUGUGCUUGCCUACGGGUUGUUUAAGGGAGUGGAGCCACUUUUCCUAAGUCUGUGCUGUGGGUGGGAUUCUGCAGUGAUGAACCUGCCCCGAGCUACCCAUGGUCCUCCACCUCUACAGAGAAGCCUUCUCUGACCAUCCCCUUGACGUGAGUAUUCCCUCCAUCUGCCCAGCCCCACCCCCACGCCCAUCCCACUUCCUUACUCUCUGCGGUCAACUGUAUUUCACAUCUACUUAUUUCGUUCUGUGUCUUUCCCCUAAAAUAUAAAUGGGAAGACGGAUUUUUUUUGUCUUUGAUCUAACUGCUAAAAUAUCUACACAGUAACAAGAACGUAAUUAACGCAGUGACUGUCAACUUGACAGACUCUAGAAUCACCAUGGAGACAAAGAUCUGGGGAUGUCAGUGAGGGAUUUUUCUAGUUAACUAGGUUAACUGGAAAAAAUAUUUUCUAGGUUAACUGAGGUGGGAAGAGAAAGUGAGUCCCACCAUUCAGCUCUCUUGGCUUCCUGACUGCAGAUGUGAGCAGCCACCUCAAGCUCUUGAGGUCAAGGCUUCCUCCUUUGAUGAACACCGAGUUAUAAGCUAAAACAAACACUUCUCCUUUUUCGUUUCUUUUGUGAGGUGGUUGAUGCUAACAAUUUGAAAACUAACCAAUACAGUAGUCAUUCGGUAAGCAAGUCUUGGAAAGGGCGUUGGAUAGAUGGAUGGAUGAUCACGUUUGCCAUAAAGUCUAAGUUGGAUGGAAUCUAACACACACAAUACAUGUUCAGGAGUAAGCAAUGUAUGAGCUAAUUUCUUAUUCCUCUAUCUGGUUCUUGGCAACCGUUAAACUGUCCUCUGUGCAGGCCAACACCACCAUUUCAAUCCUAGAAGGCACAGUUGAACAUAUCGACACUUUCUCGGGUGUCCAGGAUGACUCUAUAAGCCUUCGGAGUAAUCUAAAAGAAGAGAAUCUUCUAGCUUGGUUGAAAAGGAUGAAAAUGGCCAUUGAAUCGGUGUCUAUGUUGAAUCUUAAGACUUCCUUUGGAAGUGAACACAGUAUCUACCCUCAAUGGUUGGAUUUUGUAUACAAGUCAACAGUUUGUCUGUCAACUGUCCUUCUUAUACAUUUAAGAAGCAGGAUCAGAGCUGGAGAGUUGGCUCAGAAAUUAAGAACACUAGCUGAUCUUCAAAGGACCUGUGUCUGAUUCUCGGCAUCCACAUGAUAGUUCAGGAAAUCUAAUGCUGUCUUCUGACCCUACAAACACCAGGCAUACAUGUGGUGUGCAGACAUAUGUGCUGGCAAAAAACUAAUACACAUAAAAUAAUAAAAUGCACAGAGUGUCUUAGUCACUUUUCUAUUGCUGUGAAAAGACGCCAUGACCAAGGCAACCUACAGAAGAAAGCAUUGAAUUGGGGGCUUCCUUACAGUUUAGAGGGUGAGUUUAUGACCACUGUGGCAAGGAGCGUCAAGCAGGCAGAAACAGCAUUGAAACAGUAGCUGAGAACUGACAUCUGAGCCACUGUCACAGGGUGGAGAGAUAGAGAAUGCACUAACUGGAUAUGGCAUGAACUGUUGAAACCUCAAAGCCCAUCCCUCGUGACAUGUCUCCUUCAACAUAGGCACACCUCCUAAUCCUUCCCAAACAGUUUCACCAAUUGAGAACAAAGCAUUCAAAUACAUAAGCCUUGUAGGGGAGGGAGGGUCUCAUUCAAACCACCACAUAAAUCUAAGAGUAAUUUUAAAGAUCUAGUUGAACUUGACUUGGUGGAUCAUGCCUGAAAUCACAGCCCUUUGUAGAGGCUGUGGCAGGAAGACUGUCGCAAGCUCAAGGUCAGCCUGAGCCCCACAAUGAGUUCCAUGCCAGCUUGGCUACAGGGUCUCUGAAACUACCUCCAGACAAACAAUCAAAUAAACACAAUUCAGUUUUGAAGAGUAGGAAGAUUGUGAGUUUGAACCCAACUUGGGCUACACAGUAAGAUCUUGCCUCAAAAAAACGAACAAAAAAGCCAGUUGAAACAACCCAUUCAUGCUAAUUCCAUAAUUGCAAUUUUCUGUAUGUACCAGGGAUGGUUGGGCCACCAAGGUCCUCACUCAAAUAAGAAUCCCCACUUUGUUCUGUGGGGCCCCACGUGAUCAAUGGCUCUUGCAUGACACCCCUCUUCUCAUAAGAUGCCCAUACACGUAGAAGGCAGAUGUAUGGGAGGUUAACUCUCAAUGAUAGUGAGUCCUGUGCAGUGGUGACAGAAGGUGAGCUGCUGUUUAAGCCUCCUCACUCGGCAGCCCUUGGACUUGUAAGUCCAAGGUGUAUCCACUGGACACCAACCUGUGCCAGAGCUCUUUCUGCUCAGAUUUCUUGUCUAGGAAUUCCUGCCAACUCCCCUCCUGCUCUUCCUUCCCAAGUUCUUGUGAUUGUGAGCUUCUCCUCUCCUGUUUCUAUGCCCAAGUCUACAAAGAACGAAACAAACUGCUGUUCCUUGCGCCCUCAACUCUUCCAGUUAGGAUGUGGUUUUCAGCAAGCCUUUGCUUCUGCUUCUCCAUGGCUGCAGGAGAGAAAAUUGCUGGAGGGAAGGAUGUACUUAGAAACUACGCAGAUAUAUUUCAAACUGUACCCUCCCCAUGCUGAGUGAAAUCCUAUACAUGCUUACCCUGAGACCAUCUGUGCUGGUUAGAUAUAUGUCAGCUUAACACAAACUAUAGUCGUCAGAGAGUAGGGGACCUUGAGUAAGAAAAUGCCUCCCUAAGAUUGGGCUGUGAGCCAACCUGUAGAGCAUUUUCUUAAUUAGUGACUGAUGUAGGAAGAGCCCAGCCCAUUGUGGGUGGUGCCAUCCCUGGGCUGGUGGUCCUGGGUUUUAUAAGAAAGCAGGCUGAGCAAGCCAUGUGGAGCAAGCCAAUAAGCCGCACCCCUCCAAGGCCUCAGCACCAGCUCCUGCCUCCAGGUUCCUGCCCUGCUUGUGAAAAGAAAAUUAUACAAAUUCUAGGUUUAGAAAUAUAAAAAUUAAAAAAAAUAAACCCCAAAAGGCCACAGACCCAGGGCUAAGCCCUACAGCCAAGACUAGCAGGCCAUAAAGAUAAAGGAGCACAGGAAACACUGUUCAGGCAGGACUGACAAGCCAUAAAGAAAAGGAAUACAGGAUCCAGCUCAGGCUAUCGAGGACUGAGCCAUAAACCAUCCACAGACAUCCCCCCAGCUUACUCAGAGUCAUACUUUAACCAGAUGUCCUCCAGACCCUGAUAAGCCCCUACUUGUGCUUUUCAGCCAUUGUGUCCUACAGAGAGCACUCCAAGAAACCGGACAGCCCAAGCCUAACCAGAGGUGUUUCAAAUACAAAUGCUCCAUCAGUUUUGACAAACGUUUAAAAAUAAUGAGGACCUGAAGACCCUACCCUUCUCCUGAUUUAGUAGCUCUGUUCCAGGAACCAGGGGGCCAUAAAACCUUCUGGCGUCCCCUUAUCUCCUGGAGCCAUAAAACAAUCUUGUAACUUGUGGUACAUUCCCCUUUGACAUCCCCCAUCCCCUGGUGCUCACAGCCUCUGCCUUUAAAUACUCUUUUUCCCAGCCUCUCGGGGCCGACACCUCUGUCUCCUGCGUGGGAUACGUGUCGGCCCGGAGAUCUCUGUAAUAGGUCUCCGUAAUAAACCUCGCCUUUGCUUAUUACAUCCAAAAUGGUCUCUCUGUGUCUGGGGUCCGCGAUUUCCCAAGACUUGAGUAAGGGUCUCUCUGCGUGGGAUUUUUCAUAAUGGGGGCUCGUCCGGGAUCUUCGCGACCACCCCAGACUCUGAAGACCCCUUGGAGGUGAGUUAGAUGUUUGUCUGAGUGUUUCUGUGUGAGCGGCGCCGCAAUUGUCCGUCUGUGUCUGUCUCUGUUUUGGUUCCGCCGUGUGUGUGUAUAUGUGUGUCUUAGUACUGGUCAGUGUUAAGAGGGCAGAUGGGUAUUCCUGCCCUGUGGUAAGAGGGCAGAUGGGUAUUCCUGCCUUGUGCUGAGAGGGUGGAUGUGUAUUCCUGCCCUGUGGUAAGAGGGUGGAUGUGUAUUCCUGCCCUGUAGGAGAGUGGAUGUGUAUCCCCACUCAGUGCAGCUGCCUUUGUGGUCCGUGAGGACCCCCUGGCUGCGGAAGGGGGGACGCCCCGGGCCCGCAAGGCUGCAGCCCCUGGAAGACGUUCCACGGGCGGAGAACAGUCGGGAGAGCCCGGCUAUGGACAGUCAGGAGGACCUGACUCUGGUUUUCUGGAACAAAGGAGAUGGAAUGCUCCUUUUACCUAGGCGGGAGUGGACGAGGAAUCCCACUCCGUCAGAGGUCGAGUUCGGCUGCCUAUUUAAAUAUAGGCACGGACAAGUGUGCUUAGUCGUUAGGACAAGAGGACACUCUGGAAUCCUGUUGGGAGGUGGAAUCAGACGGUCCAUCUCAUCCCAAAAGCAGCUAAGGUUAAGCUGCAGUUUGGGCCACGUACUGAAGGUACCAGGCAUCUGUGAAAGUUGGUUAUAAGAUGCUUUGUCUUGAUAUUGUUUGUCUGGCUUGUUUUCUGUGGUAUUGUCGAGUGUCUUUUUGGCUUUUGUUUCGUUUUUGAAUUUUGGACUGACGACUGUGUUUGAAUUUGGACUGACGACUGUGUUUAAAAUCUUGGACUGACGACUGUGUUUGAAAUCAUGAAACUGUUUGCUUUGUUCGUCAUAGAGUUUUACUUGGUCCUCUUGGUGCUUAAGUUAAGAGUUAAAAAUAAUUUGCUUGAGAGAAAUUGUUUUCUGCCAGGGAGUUUUGUCUUUCUCUCUUGAGCCUCCUCCCCAAAGAGAGAUGCGCCUCCCUUUACUCCCCUUGAUCAGCCUAGCUGCUGUUAACAGUUGUGUAAACAGACAUUAACAAAAACCUUGAGGACAAAACUGCUCGUAAAUAAAAAAGUUCCCCAGAUUAGGCCUCCGGUAUGAAACAAGUAUAGUGAGUAAGAAACUUAAUUUUAUGGACCCCGCUCUAGUGUCGGUGUUUUGGUUGAUAGCCAACGUUAAUUUUUUAAAACAUAGUGUUUUAUCUGUGCUUGUGCUUGAAACACACAGUAGGGGGGAGCGAAAUUAGCUGCGGAGCUGCUGCAGCGAACAUGGGGACUUCUCAAGUCUCUCCCAAUUUUUCUGGCUCUUCAGGAGCUGUUUAAAAGAAAAAGGCUUAAGGUAAAAAGAAACACUAUAAAAAGAUUUCUUAGUGAAUUACUACACCUUGGUUUGCGAUCUCUGGGAAUCUCAUGGUGGACAGCUGAGAUAAGCUGGAAAAGGAUUUAAAUUUUGCUUAGAAACAAAGAAUCUUAAAGGUGGAGUUUCAGCCGGUAUGACACUUAGUGCAUAGCUGCCUAAAAGAUCAGAAAUGCUGUCAACAGGCUAUAAAAAAGGGACAGGCUGUGUUAAAAAUGCUACAUAAAGAAUAAUCUAAAAAGGCUGAGAGUGAGGUGGGAGAGGACUCUAAGAAAAACAAGAACAAGAAAGGAAUUUCUGCUUUUAGUGACCAGACCUUCAACUCUUGCUCACAGAAAGAGGGUGCUCAUUAAGAGAAGUUCUUUAAGGAGCCUGCCUUAUCUGCUGGCCCUAUUCCAAGAGAGGAGCCAGUCUCCAGCAUUAAAUUACUUUUCUCACUGGUCAUCAUUAGCAUGGAGAAUGCCUUUGAUCCUAUCCCCACAGCAGCCAGUUCCUGCCCCUGUGGUAGAAAUGUCCCAGGUUGGGGGGCAGAGAAGCCCCUAAAAUAAUUUCAAAAAAUCUUCAACAAACUGUAAAGAACUUUGUUUUGUUUUGCCAGUCAAAAUUUAAAAUUCAGGCUUUGGCUGUGGCUAAGGUCAGGAUUAAUGUUUUCUUUUCCAUGGGCCUUUAGCCCACUGAAAAAGUUUGGUGAAGGACUACUACUACAGUCCUGAUAUUCAGAGACAUGGAGAGAGCUAUAGUUUUUUUUUAUUAUUAAAGGUUGGUACUACUAUAGUAUUAACAAUCUCCUUAUUAGAUGUAAGAGACAAGAAGCCCCAGGUAAACUGGUUACAAUUCUUUUGUCAGCUGUUUAGUAUCGAACACCCAGGUUCUAACGUCUCUCCAUCCUUUUGUUAUUAGUUCUUACUGGAAGCCUAGUGCCAUUUAGAGGAUGAGUCUCUUGAGCGAUAAAGCCACUGAGCUGACACUAAAGGAAAGUACUCCUUAAGGGAAAAUCUAAGUCCAGAGAGACAGCCGGUAGCAGAUAGGCUGCCCCUCUGCUCACUUUUCUGUUUCACAGACACAAGGUCUUUUUGUCCCAAGAAAGCCUCCUGGCUUAGCUGUGUGACUAAAUGCUAUUUGCCCUCUUCAGUGGACCUCUAUUCUCAAGAUUCCCUUGUUUUCUCACCAUCCCAUUUGAGAUGCUUGUUAGUAACUGUUACAGGUCUUCUUUACCACCGAAGAAGGACGGAAUCCUACUAGAGGCCAGAAAAAAUGUUCCAGACACGAUGGAAGGCCCUCACUUCUGCCUGCUCUCUUCAAACGCCUAAAGGUAGGGAGUGCCAGGUCUGCUGCCAGGCUCCAAGGGUGGGUCUCUGAGGGGCUAGAAAAUGCCCCACCAAUCUGGCUAAGAUAAAGAAAAGAUAUGAAGAAAAAGUUACAAAAAUUUGAAGGGUUAAGUUAAGUUGCUGAGAGUUAGUGUAAGUUACAGAGAAAGUAAGGUUAAAAAGAAAGAGGAAGUUAAAGAGCUAAAGAGAGAUAAAAGACGAGAGAGGAACAUAUACUGGCCACAGUAGUUAGGGAACCUAGGAAGAUAGUACCUGACAACAGAAGAGAAUUCCUGGCUAAAGAUCAGUGUGCCUAAUACAAAGAAAAAGGACACUGGGUCAGGGACUGCCCAAGAAAGAACAAGAGGGGCCACUGGAGAGCUUCUUGGUCCUAGAGUGCUGGACAGGGACCCAAUGCUCUGUGCUCCUAUGCCCCCCAGUGGGCCAAUAUCCAAAGACCUUGAGUGCAAGGAGCUACUGGCAACGAACAAUACUUAUGGACUGCCCGAAGAACAGUGGACCUUGGCGUGGGCCGGGUAACCCACCCACUAAUUCAUGGUCAUCCCUGACUGCCCCUAUCCCUUGCUCAUGAGAAAACUGCUCUCCAAAUUGGCUUGCGUGGGCUGAAAUGGCUAGAUGAGGCCAUGUGUAUACAUAUCUAUAGACUGUGUAUGUAGAGCUUAAGACCUGUCUCAGUACACCAGUAACUGAUGCUGGGAGAUGAAUGGCUUAGUGCUUUUCUGCCUGGAACACACCGUUCCUGCCAGCCUGGCACUAACAAUUAUCACCCAAUCCAGGACUUAAACUGUGAUAGAGUGGCUGAUGUUUUGCCUUUGGAUAGAGUGUCCCUAAAGAUGGGACCACUGGUCAGCUGCCAUGGACUAGAUUCUCCACCGGUUGGGGACAAUCUGGUCACCUUGCUGCCCAAUCCGGACCUGGAGCCACCACAGCACGAGUGUCAAACACUGACAGAAACACAUGGGUGGAGGAAAGACCUGUGCGACUGGCUGAUUGACCCCUGCUGAAAGCCGAGGACCUUGUCCACAGACGGGAACAGUUCUCUUCAUGAAUGAAGGUCAGAGACAAGUGGGUGCUGCCAUGGUGGACAACACAAUGUCAUCUGGGAUGGCUGAACCUCUACCCCCCAGCACAUCAGCGCCACAGAUGUCUUUGCCAUCUCUUAGAUGCCCUGAUGAAGCCAACAACUGUGAGUACUAUUCAUUGCUCAGGAUAUCAGGAGGGAAGUGAUUCAGUGACAUGGGACAAUAACAAAACAGAUAAAGUGGCUCGGGAAAUGGCUAUACAAGAGCCUAUCCUGGUUACAGGCCUACAAGAAACAGCCACUGAGAACUGAGAUUAGACUAAGGGAUGGCCUCACUUAGAAUGUACAACAGAAGAAAAGGCCCAAGUUGUUUAAAAGAUAAAAGGACAAUGACACACUUGGGGAGAAAGCUAUACCCCCCCAAAGAACAAACAAAAGACUCACUUUGCCAAAUAAAAAAAUAGACUCAUUUAAGAGAUAAGAAGUUUGUCCAAAUAGUUAAAAUAUAUAUAAUAGACUUUAAGAUUUUAGCCAAGAGAGACAGUAAAAAAUAUAAGAUAUGUCAAUAAGUAAAUGCUUAACAAACAAACAGGACAAAGAGACCUAGAGAGUUUAACGAAAAGUCGAAGUGAACUUCACUGAGAUAAAACCAGAAAAUUAUGAUCACAAGUAUCUCCUAGUGCUUGUAGAUACUUUUUCAGGAAUAGAUAGAAGCUUUCCUCACCAAACGAGAGACGGCCUCUACAAUCAUCAAAAAGAUACUAGAAGAAAUCUUCCCCAGGUCUGGAAUGCCCAAGGUAAUCUGGUCUGACAGCGGCCCUACUUUCGUUGCCAAGGUAAGCCAGGGUGUGGCCAAGUAUUUAGAGGUCGAUUAGAAAUUACAUUAUAUUUACAGACCUCAAAGUUCAGGACAGGUAGAGUAAAUAAAUAGAACUCUAAAAGAGACCCUGAACAAAUUGACCAUAGAGACUGGCACAGACUGGGUGACACUCCUUCCCUCUUGCUCUCUUCAGAGCAAGAAAUACCCCUUCCAGAUUCAGCCUUACCCUCUUUGAGAUCUUAUAUGGGGCCUCAGCUCCCCUGACUGUAUUAGAUGAUGUUACUGAACCAACAUGUCAUAGUGCCAUAAUAAUAAUGAUUUGUGUGCCAGGCUAAAAGACCUACAGGUGAUACAGAAAAAAAUCUGCUCACAGCUGACAGCAGCCUAUGCCCCGGAGACCCCUGAGACAUCUCAUCAGUUCCAGGUCGGAAGCAGCUACACUGAGCCCAGACACUCGAGCCUCGCUAGAAAGGACCGUACCUGGUGCUGCUGACCACCCUGACAGCCGUCAAUUCUCAGCCCUCACCAGCCGUGUACUAGCUGUUAGGGCUGAGAGCUGGGACCUAGAGAGAAAUUCAGUCAUGUUUGUCCUGGGUUCCAUCGAGAUAGGUGUGGGGAUAGGCUUGAUUUCUAUUACAAAUAAUGUAACAUUACAUAUGUUAGUACUCCUAACACUUCUUGGGACUGUGCCUCAGGGAUCACAACCUAUAUAAGUUUAGAAGUUCUGAAAGACAGUCAUGACCUUGGUGUAUAGGUUCAGAUAGUGUCCAGAUUGGAAUCCUGAUGCUAAAGACUUAGUAAGAGACAAAAAAAAGGAGUUGAGAAUUACUUAGGGCUAGGGCUAUCUAGGUGCUACAAGGGCAGCACAAGGACAUCUGCUGUUGCCCUACAAUACAAGGCUUAUAGAGAAUUCAGAACUGCCAUUGACUCAGAUAUAAAAAGAGUAAAAGACUUUUUAGCUGACCUCCAAGAAUACCUAACUUCCCUCUCAGAGGUAGUCCUUCAAAAUAAGAAAAGAUCAGACCUGAUAUUCCUUAAAGAAGGAAUCUGUGUGCUACACUGAAAGAAAAAUGUUGCUUCUAUACAGACCAUUCAGGAGUAAUUAAAGACUCCAUAAAUAAACUUAAAAAAAGGUUAGACAAAAGACAGACAGACAGAAAAACACAUCAGAGAUAGUUCGAGAGCUAGUUUAGUAGAUCUCCCUGGAUGACUACCCUACUCUCUGCUACAGCUGGGCCAUUAUUAAUAAUUUUCUUGGUUUUAGUUUUUGGCUCCUGCGUGACAAACAGGUUAAUUGCUUUUGUUAAAAAUUGAGUGGGUGCUGUGCGGUUGAUGGUCCUGAGACAACAGUACCAGUCAGUUAGGACAACUGGUGAGACCAAAUAAGACUUGAUAUCAAAAUUCUAAGAUUAGAAUUAUUUAGUAGGAGAAGACGGGAAUGAAAAGAAAAUUAUACAAAUUCUAGGUUUAGAAAUAUAAAAAUUAAAAAAAAUAAACCCCAAAAGGCCACAGACCCAGGGCUAAGCCCUACAGCCAAGACUAGCAGGCCAUAAAGAUAAAGGAGCACAGGAAACACUGUUCAGGCAGGACUGACAAGCCAUAAAGAAAAGGAAUACAGGAUCCAGCUCAGGCUAUCGAGGACUGAGCCAUAAACCAUCCACAGACAUCCCCCCAGCUUACUCAGAGUCAUACUUUAACCAGAUGUCCUCCAGACCCUGAUAAGCCCCUACUUGUGCUUUUCAGCCAUUGUGUCCUACAGAGAGCACUCCAAGAAACCGGACAGCCCAAGCCUAACCAGAGGUGUUUCAAAUACAAAUGCUCCAUCAGUUUUGACAAACGUUUAAAAAUAAUGAGGACCUGAAGACCCUACCCUUCUCCUGAUUUAGUAGCUCUGUUCCAGGAACCAGGGGGCCAUAAAACCUUCUGGCGUCCCCUUAUCUCCUGGAGCCAUAAAACAAUCUUGUAACUUGUGGUACAUUCCCCUUUGACAUCCCCCAUCCCCUGGUGCUCACAGCCUCUGCCUUUAAAUACUCUUUUUCCCAGCCUCUCGGGGCCGACACCUCUGUCUCCUGCGUGGGAUACGUGUCGGCCCGGAGAUCUCUGUAAUAGGUCUCCGUAAUAAACCUCGCCUUUGCUUAUUACAUCCAAAA